GGUGAACGCUUGGCGGCGUGCCUAACACAUUGCAAGUCGAGCGGUGCAGUUUGAAGCUUCGGUGGAAAGCUGCAUUAGCGGCGGACGGGUGAGGAAAACGUAGGAACGUGCCCCUUGGAGUUGGAUAGCCACGGGAAACUGUGGGUAAACCGACAUAGACUCGAGAGAGUAAAGGCCGAAAGGCGCCAAGGGAGCGGCCUGCGGCCCAUCAGGUAGUUGGUAGUGUAAAGGACUACCAAGCCGACGACGGGUAGCCGGUCUGAGAGGAUGGCCGGCCACAAGGGCACUGAGAGACGGGCCCUACUCCUACGGGAGGCAGCAGUGGGGGAUUUUGGACAAUGGGCGAAAGCCUGAUCCAGCGACGCCGCGUGGAGGACGAAGCCCUUCGGGGUGUAAACUCCUUUUCUCAGGGAAAAAGGAUGAUGGUACCUGAGGAAUAAGCCCCGGCUAACUACGUGCCAGCAGCCGCGGUAAAUCACGUGUA
RNAcentral lists this ribosomal RNA (484 nucleotides) under uncultured bacterium. Its description in RNAcentral is "bacterial SSU rRNA". It matches the Rfam family "Bacterial small subunit ribosomal RNA", at positions 28 to 531 of the family's 1533-position model. The record is from RNAcentral.